ACCCGCUGAAUUUAAGCAUAUAAGUAAGUGGUGGAAAUUAAACCAACUGGGAUCUCUUCAGUAAUUGCGCAUGAACCAGGAUAUGCUUAGCUUGACAAAUGGAGCUGCUGGCUCUGAAUUGUAUUGUGGGAAUGUAUUACCAACAGAGGUGCAGGUGUCAGCCAUUUGAAAGAAAGCAUCAAUGAGGGUGAGAGUCCUGUUUGUCAUGUGCAGCCUUCUGUGCACGGUGUAUAUUUGCUGAGUCACACUCCUUGGCAUUGGAAUGCAAAGUGGGUGGUAAGUUUCAUGCAAAGGUAAAUAUGCAAUUGAGACUGAUAGCGCACAAGUACCAUGAGGGACAUAUGAAAAGGACUUUGAAAAGAGAAUUAAAUGAGUUUGUAUUUGCUAAACACAAAGUAAACAGACUUGAUUUCCUCAGUGAGAUUGUAGUGCUUGCUUAACAAUGGGUUUUGGCUGCAAGUGCAAUAAUUCUUGCUUUGUGUGCCAGUUUUUAUGUGGACAUUUGAUUACCUUUGCACAUGAAUGGUAAUUUUCCUGCGGGGUGUGGAUUGCAUAUGCAUGUAAUGAUUUGCAUGUUUGUUAAAUGUGUCUGGUGUAUUUGUUUGUGUCCUUGUCCUUGAGGUUGCUUUCUCCCUUGGGCUUACAUGCCCUGGCACACACAUUCUGGCAAAAUGCUUCUGCUUGACCCGUCUUGAAACACGGUCCAAGG
Molecule: ribosomal RNA, 709 nt
Filed under: Alexandrium catenella
Lineage: Eukaryota; Dinophyceae; Gonyaulacales; Pyrocystaceae
Also listed under: 1 other name
Description: LSU rRNA
Rfam family: Eukaryotic large subunit ribosomal RNA
Source: RNAcentral